CAGCACCACAUAAAAAUAAAAUAAAGAUAUUGUAUUUUGCUGUUGUUCUUUUGGUUUGCACUAGGAUGCAAAAGAAAAUAAUCCCUGCGCUUUCUGUCUGUCUGUGUGGCAGUCCAGAUUGAAUUGGGGAAUACAGCU
This 138-nucleotide small nucleolar RNA is filed under the name Spermophilus dauricus (Daurian ground squirrel). RNAcentral's name for it is "Small nucleolar RNA SNORA31 (ENSSDAG00000012935.1)". It matches the Rfam family "Small nucleolar RNA SNORA31", at positions 25 to 130 of the family's 130-position model. From Rfam's summary of the family: ACA31 (SNORA31) belongs to the H/ACA class of snoRNAs which are thought to guide the sites of modification of uridines to pseudouridines. The record is from RNAcentral. Lineage: Eukaryota; Metazoa; Chordata; Mammalia; Rodentia; Sciuridae.